GAGGGUACAGCUCAGUGGUAGUGUGUGUGCUUAGAAUGCACAAGGUCCCGGGUUCAACCCCCAGUACUUCCA
Molecule: transfer RNA, 72 nt
Filed under: Camelus bactrianus (Bactrian camel)
Lineage: Eukaryota; Metazoa; Chordata; Mammalia; Artiodactyla; Camelidae
Also listed under: 2 other names
Rfam family: tRNA
About the family: Transfer RNA (tRNA) molecules are approximately 80 nucleotides in length.
Source: Rfam by way of RNAcentral